CUGGAAACGGUGGCUAAUACCGCAUAACGUCGCAAGACCAAAGAGGGGGACCUUCGGGCCUCUUGCCAUCAGAUGUGCCCAGAUGGGAUUAGCUUGUUGGUGAGGUAACGGCUCACCAAGGCGACGAUCCCUAGCUGGUCUGAGAGGAUGACCAGCCACACUGGAACUGAGACACGGUCCAGACUCCUACGGGAGGCAGCAGUGGGGAAUAUUGCACAAUGGGCGCAAGCCUGAUGCAGCCAUGCCGCGUGUAUGAAGAAGGCCUUCGGGUUGUAAAGUACUUUCAGCGGGGAGGAAGGUGUUGUGGUUAAUAACCGCAGCAAUUGACGUUACCCGCAGAAGAAGCACCGGCUAACUCCGUGCCAGCAGCCGCGGUAAUACGGAGGGUGCAAGCGUUAAUCGGAAUUACUGGGCGUAAAGCGCACGCAGGCGGUCUGUCAAGUCGGAUGUGAAAUCCCCGGGCUCAACCU
RNAcentral lists this ribosomal RNA (470 nucleotides) under Salmonella enterica. RNAcentral describes it as "bacterial SSU rRNA". It matches the Rfam family "Bacterial small subunit ribosomal RNA", at positions 150 to 615 of the family's 1533-position model. Lineage: Bacteria; Pseudomonadati; Pseudomonadota; Gammaproteobacteria; Enterobacterales; Enterobacteriaceae. The record is from RNAcentral.